GGAGUAGCAGCUCAGUGGUUAGAGCGUCCGACUGUCCACCACUAAGUAGUAGGUUCGAACCCCAUCUACCUUG
This 73-nucleotide transfer RNA is filed under the name Schistosoma japonicum. RNAcentral's name for it is "tRNA-OTHER". Lineage: Eukaryota; Metazoa; Platyhelminthes; Trematoda; Strigeidida; Schistosomatidae. The record is from RNAcentral.